RNAcentral lists this ribosomal RNA (253 nucleotides) under uncultured bacterium. Its description in RNAcentral is "partial 16S ribosomal RNA". It matches the Rfam family "Bacterial small subunit ribosomal RNA", at positions 524 to 776 of the family's 1533-position model. The record is from RNAcentral.
UACGGGGGGGGCAAGCGUUGUUCGGAAUUACUGGGCGUAAAGGGCUUGUAGGUGGCCAACUAAGUCAGACGUGAAAUCCCUCGGCUUAACCGGGGAACUGCGUCUGAUACUGGAUGGCUAGAGUGUGGGAGAGGGAUGCGGAAUUCCAGGUGUAGCGGUGAAAUGCGUAGAUAUCUGGAGGAACACCGGUGGCGAAGGCGGCAUCCUGGACCACGACUGACACUGAAAAGCGAAAGUCAGGGGAGCAAACGGG